Cryptomeria japonica (Japanese cedar) is the source of this 569-nucleotide long non-coding RNA. RefSeq lists it as uncharacterized. The transcript is spliced from 2 exons. The record is from RefSeq and is a predicted model, not a curated record. Lineage: Eukaryota; Viridiplantae; Streptophyta; Pinopsida; Cupressales; Cupressaceae.
CGCGCUCAACACAGCGUCUCCUGCUUCAUUUGGUUGCAACAGCAAGCCCAACUCACUGUCUAUAGUAGCAACAACAGCUCCAUUCAUUAGAAACUGGCAGCAGGGGCGGCAACAUCACCGGGAUGCAGCUGUUAACAGCGGCGAGAAGAGUUUUUAUGGUAUGGCGGGAAGUUUUCUAUGGCCUGGGUAUCUUCUUCAACCCGUGUCAUGCACUGUGUCGAUUCAACAUUCUAAGAGUGAGCUGCAAACUGUCCAAGUUUAAAACUCUAGGUUAUGCUGCAAGCGGGACUCUUGGAAGUUGCUGCCCCCCCCUACUUUUCUGUGGGUGGGGGUGAGCACACAUCGGCUGGGGGGUUAGGUUAAUUGCGGGGCUUUGCUAGUUGCAGCUUUUUCAAGUGUGUGAGUUUAUGCUUCCUUCCCUGCUCCACCUACCCUUGUUUCUAUUCCCAUCUAUGACUCUGCUUCUGGGUUUCAAUCUUUAACUGCUCGAACUCCAACUGAAGGAUCUACUGCUCGAUCUCGAAUUGAAUAUGUUCCCAGCUCUGUUGCUGGGUAUCGAAAUGAUGAAA